CAGGUUUUUAGCUAUAUAUAUAUAUAGCUAAAAACCUGUAAUCAUUUAAAUAUAUCUCUGAGAACUACAGUUCAAUUUUUUUUCCCUUGCCAUCACGAAUGUGUUACGAGCCAAGGAAUAUGAACUUAAAAAAAAAAAAUGUUCUUGAUAUAAGUUAACAUUCACGCUUCAUACAUGUUAUUGCUUCCUGUGGCUUGAAAUUGGACCUCUACAAAUUUUGACUUAAGGUUGAUUAGUUUUUCUAAGCUAUUGCCUUAGAUGUACUUAAUACAACAGCUCAGGUUAUCCAAUAUCUAAUUAAACACAGGUGCAGCUCGAAUUUGUUAUGGGAAGUGAAGGGAAAAUAUUUUUAGCGCUUUUCAAGGAAAGCAGUGCUUAGCAGGGAGGUACAAAUGAAGAAGGUCCCAAAGUCAAAGCAAAAGAGGGUUGAACCCAUUGCAGUCACUUGGAACUAUACUAACAUUGUUAAAAGAGACACCUCAUUUAACACUGUUAAAAGGGACAACCUUGAUUGAUCUAGGUGUCAUCAUCCACCUGUCCACAUUUUCCCAAAUACUAAACUUUGCCUAGGUCAGUUAAACUUAAAGACUUUCCCACAGAUUGUAGCAUAUUUUUAUAAGCUGGUGUUGUUGGUAUUUAAUUGCAGUGAGCGUUUCCGUGUGAAUAGCCUUGUGUAUAACCUGGGAACUAAUCUCUAAUCUCUACCUGGAAAAAAGAAAAGAAAAACUAGCUGAUGGUCUUCAGGUAGUUUACAGAGAUAAGAGUUUCCCCUGAGCAGAAUAUGUUUUUGGUAUAAAAUUACUAUCUAUUGUACAAAAUAACCAAAUCUUCCACCUUCUUCUGACUGCACUUUGAUAUCAAGGACUUGCUCUGUUUUUGUAUAUAUAACAGGAUAAGACAGGCAUGUUCCCUUAGUUUCACUUGACUAGGCAGCUAUUCUGAAUAAGCAGAGCUUUGGUGACUUGAAAUGACUCCAUUCCCAAGAGACAGGCAUUUUCAAUUCUUGUCCCAAAGGUGCUACCCGCAAAGAACUGGGACUUUACUUCAUAAAACUACUGCCCAACUGAGUAGGUCACAGGUUUAAAAUUGUUUCACAGGCUCCUAACUCAAUAUUUAUAUCAUAAUUCCACUGCUGGGCCUUCCUUUGCUCUUUCAACACUUGUCUUAUAUUUUAGAAAGUCAGCUGGCAAAAACGUACAAGGGGCCACAACUGACUAAUCCAAGAUAAGCAUUGCUAAGUGCCACAUUCAAAAGAGCAGGAUGCAGCCCACAGCUUAGUACCAUGCAGUAUACCUCUUUGUAGUCCCUAGGAUAUGAGCUAAUAAGGAUGGACUCCAGUUUGGCCUUGUGUAAAUAUAAAGGCCUGUACAUAAGGAGGCCCUCUUUGCCUCACACCUGUACAGAUCCUGCAGAGAUGGAUCAUAUUGGGGUCUUGCUUACUCUGGGGAGCAAUUGCCAAGGAAAGGAUGACACCAUACUGAACAGUACUUACAGAAAAUGGAGUUCAAGUCUCAUGGAGCAGGCCCUACUGACAGCUGGGGAAACCAAAGUGUUAUAUCCAUCAGUUGCGUCCAGCAGUAGUCCAAGCUUCCCCACCCUGCCAUACAAAUAAGUUUCUACCUUUCCUUAGGGGAACUGCUGAUAGGCUAUGACAGGGAGGGCCAAAAUUUAAACUCAUUCAGUCCUUAACCUCAUACAGUGGUGCAUGGUAACAUGCAAGUUAGCUCUGAAUGACCUAACCUAGCUACUGGAGCCACAAUAGAUAGCUGCAUUAGCAUGCUGCUUUGCCCAAGCUACAAUAGACUUGAUGGAGUGCUAUAUUUGAUGGAAUGCUUGAUGGAUAGACUCGAUAGACUUGAUGGAAUGCUUAUAAUGCUUCCAGUAUUCAAGUCAGCUUGUUCCCAGCCAGCCUGAGGAUCAGCACCCGGCACUGCAUUUUGCUAUGCAGACAUGCCAUCAGCCUGCCAAGUGUAGUCAUAGCUUCUGUGAUACAGACACAUAUUUGAAAGGAACUUGACUCAGGUGACCAGUUCGGUUCAUGUCACACAGGCUACUAGAUGUCACUCAGGUGCCAAUAAAUGUAUGUUAUGGAGAACUGGGGUGGAUACAGACAAACAAUGUAGAUUUGAAAGGCUCUGUACUCCCAUAUCUGAGCUGUUCCAUUCUACUUAUGUAAUAUUUUGAAAACAUGACAGCAGAAUGCACAUGCUCCUUGUCCCUCUACAGGCUUCCUGCUAAAAAGACACCCAGCUUACAGACAUGCUUAAGGAUAGAUUCACUGUGCUUGAAUCACUCCCUUAAAAAUGCAGAUACAAUCCAAUACAGAGCAUGCUGCCUGUGCAACUGAAAAUUAGGGAAGGGAAAGGAAACUAAGUAAGGUAAGCCAUGUUGGACAAGUCUAUAUGACAUCUAAACUUAGACUGUGAACUCCGUGGGGCACUCUGGUACUGUAAAUCACCCAGCAUAAUAUGGUUACUGUAACAGGAAACCCUGGCACUAAAUAUUAUUUAACUUUUCUAUCUUUUUCUCUAUACUGCCUACCCCUAAAAGUCCGCUGAAUGUAAAAACGAAUGUAUGAUGAAUGGCAUACAUUCAUUUCUAUAGGAGAAAGUUGCUUCUAAAAGCAAUGUGAAGAGGAUCCAAGCUUCAUGGUCUAACUGCUCUACAAUGUUUACCAAGACAUGGUACAGAAACAGUUGUUGGUGAAACAAGAUUAUUUGUUUCAGAUGUUUUCCUUUUGUUUUUUUUUGUUGUGCAUUUCUUUUUCUCCAGGAAGCCUCAUAGAUGUGACGGGAUGAUUUAAUUCUGUACAAACCUCACCUCCCUGAAUUCUUAGAAUGUAGAUGUAUACCACUACCGGUAUUCUUAGAGUCAGGGUGCUGCAGCCUCGCUGAAUAAAUAUAGUACAAUGGAACCCACAUUUUUAUUGGAAUCCCUGCUAGCUAUUUACAUACUUUUCUUAGAGAGAGACAGGAAACCAAAUGUAACAGACAGAGAUCUAAAGCUAUCUUUGCACUGGCUAGAGCCCUCAUAGAUAAAUAAUAUACCUUGGAACUCACUUACACUGAGAUGCAGUGAAAGCCCCAAACUGCUUUGAUGUUAAAAGACUGGGGGCUUUAUAAUUAACUUCAUUCCAUUCCAAUCUGGUUCGAUUCUGCUAAUCCCUUUAAGGAUAACCAGCACCAAGGUGUUAAACACUGGCACUAAGAAUGGAUUGUCAUAUGGAAAUUGCAGCUAUCCUUGUAGCAUGAAGGGAAAGAAGGAAUCCCUAGUCUCAGUUCUCAUAGCAUGGAUAGAAGAGGAGCUAAUAUCAGUAUAUCAGUAGCUAUUUCCAACCAAAAGUGAAAGUAGUGAUUCCCAGAACAUCUCUUCUCGCUGUCAUUGCCUCAGUGCAACUACAGGAAGUGAACAGAAGACUGGUCCAAGGAUGACCCACUGACAGGUGGACACCUCUCAUGAUACAGUGAAAACUCCCCUGGUGACAGAAUAACGUGUGUGUGAAAAAACAGACAAUAACUUUGCUAUGAAAGGGUUUAACUGGAAAACCUAACAGGCAACAGCAUGAAUUCACAGAACACAAUAAAAACGACAUCCCUAAGGGAGAGCAUACUGUUCACUCCUUUCUGUAUUACCUGAAUGUAUACAAAGCAUUAUGAAAGUGCGCAACUCUCCCUAUGAAUGACGUAAGGAGCUGGGUGAGUACCCUGGGGUUUUGAAUUCUUUGGACUGCAGAGCACCUAUGAGUUAGGUGCUGCAGCACCAAUGCUGGGGCAAUUCAGGGCUAGAUUCAUAAAAAUAUUUAGGUGUUGCAAUACUUAACUUUGAGGUGCUUUGCCACCUGGAGAACGUAAGAUCACUAUAUAAUGCAUGGGAAGAAUGAGAGGCCAUGGAAUGGGAUCUAAAAAAGCCACUAUUCUUAACAUGGAUCUACUCCACUGAAUAAUGCUAAAUAUAAAAUAUUGACGUAUUCAAUUGACCAUGGAAUGGAACCUGGGAUUUUCCCACCUCUGGUACAUGUCCUAGUUAUAAAACUAUAGUUAUGCUCACUCUAUUUGAAGGGGACUUUAUGUGGUAGGUCUCUGCAAAUAGUUGCAUUUCACCCAGCAUGAAUGGAAGGCCUUCAGCAUCUCCAAGCUUUGGGCCCUCAAUGCCAUUUGUAAGCUUCACUGCUUUGUAGAGAAUUAUGGCAAGUCCUGUGCACCCUUAAAACUAACUUAAAAGGAGAGCAUGGGUUUUACUUUCUUUCAUUCUGCCUUUAAAUUCUUUUAUUAAUGCAAAAGCAGUCACCAGCUAUACCAACUGGACAUAAAAAAUAACCAUCUCAAAAGAAUAUUGUCAGAUUCUCUUCUACCUAUUGAGUGUCUAAAUAGACUUAGGCACCCGAGUGUGAUUCUAUUCCACUCCGUUCAAGUCCUGAACAUUCAUCAGUGCACCUACUUUUGUAAGACACCUUCAUCUAACCCUUAAAACUGAAUCAUAAAAAGUAGAGAGGAGGAUAUGCUUACCUUUUGCAUUAACUAUUUUUUCAGGGACAUGAGCAGGGUGGAAUGAACAUUUAGGCAUCCAGUUCACUUAUGUACCUAACAAUUAAUUGGAUUAGAAGCUGGCCCUCAGUUUGCCAAAAUCAAACACUCAAAAAUUAAGAGAAGGCAAAAUUAAGGUAGUCUUACUGAAAGAUAAUCUUACUGGAAGAAGUAGGUAAUUUACAUAAUGGACAGAUGUUCCAUCCUGUUUGAGAAGGGCUGCAUUUCUGCUGAAGUCACUUUGCUCUCCUUAAAAAAUGCCUAUAUAUAACAAAUGAAGAAUUUUCUCAAUGUAAGGAAGGAAGGAGUGAGAGUAGCCUUGGUGUACCCUGUACCAGUGGUGAAAGUCAAGGCUGCUCCUGUGCAGCUUACAUAGCUCUGAACCAGUAAGUUACAGCCAGCCCUGUAGACCCUCCAUCUAUCCCUCACACUGAUGCUUUGCUUGAUUCAACAACUCAUUAUUUAAGUUUUACAUGAGCAUAAUGCUACAGGAUGGAAAAUAAACAAACCACUAUGGAUAUUGUAAAAGAAAGAAACACAUACUGACAAUCAAGUGUAAGAAUAGCUUUUAAUGGAGUCGCACCUGCAUAAAACUAGAGUGAUAUAGUUGUGAUAGGAAUUUUUUUUUGGCUUUUACUAAAUGCUUAUAGCAGGAAGCAUUUUUUUAAAUUAAAAUAUAGAUUUCAAAUUAUAUGAUUUAUAAUUGGUAUUUAUUUGUAUUUCUGCAUUGUUGAUGUAGUUACAAAAGAACAAUACCAGUAGCUUGUGCUAUAAACUCCUCAGCUGCUAUGAUCACCCAUGGUAGAUUGUGCUAUAGACUACUCAGCUAUUGUGAACACCCAUGCUUACAAACCAAAAUAGUCUGGAAAGUUAAGCUUUUUGCACUUAAAUCAUAUGACGUGAUAGGGCAUAUACUCAUUAUUUCAUUACUCUAACCAGUUGUUUAAAAAAAUUACAAGACCAAAUGAUUUGCAAAUAAAAUACAUCACCUUGACUCAAAAAAUGGUACAUCUUGAACAUGAAUAGAAGGAAUUUGUAUUUUGUUUCGCUUUAAAAUUUCAUUUUUCUGUAGUUUCAGUCACUCUGUUUACCUUAGGGUAUGAUUUCUGAGAAAAAUAUAGCAUACAAAUAAUGGUGGAAAUAAAAAUCCUGUAUACUUUCACUGCUUAAAAGAGAAGUUGCACCAUGCGCACUUUAUUAGAAGAGAACAUCAAAUGACCCACAUACUGAAAGCAGGACAAAUGAACAGCUGACUCUACAGUUAGGGGGAAUAUAAUUUUUGUUUUUAACUAAAAAUAGUCUGUAUUCACUUUUCCAAGUGGAAAGUGCGUCUGGGGACCUUAUUUACAGACUUAGAAGUACAGGCUAAUCCCUUACCCUUGUAGCCAGUUUCAGCCACUUUCAGAUUUUUUUUGGCAAAAACUCAAAUACAGCGCUGGUGUCAUGCUUAAUACUGUUUUAGUCAAUAUGAUUUCUGUUUGAGUCACCUGCAGUGUGAAUGCAGCAAUUGUUUAGCUUUAUUACCCCAAACAGUUAUUUUAAACAGUAUCCUUACAGUUAACAAGAUGAGAGAAAAGGCCUCAGCUGAGAUAUGUACCAGGAAGAGAACAUUUUCUUAGAAAAGCACAGUUCUCAGUAAAUGAUAAACCACAGAACUGCUACAUUGACUGAUGUUCACAUUCAACCACAAAACUAUGUUCAUAUAUUGAAAGGGUCUUGCUCCCCCUCUAAAAAUAAGGAUUUUGAGAGGUAAGUAUGGGGCUUCAGUCUCUUAACACUAUCUCUUGACACAUUAGGCCUCAUUAGGCCUCGGUGUUAUUGCCAUGAUCAUGUAAAAUACAAAUCCUUUUUCCAUGUGCCCUGUUCCUGUGCCCUUUUUCCAUGGGUCUAUUUAAUUGAAAGCAUGUAUAAUGUCUCCUCCAUUUAUUGACUUUUUGAGUCAGUAGUGCUCAAAAGAACUAUAAUCAUAGAACCUCCGAGCAAAGCAUCCACGUUCAGAAAAGCACUUCAGCACAGUCAAAAAAUGAUUUAAGUCACUCUGAUGUCAUGAGGUGCCAGUAAAUUCUGUGAAUUUUCAAAAGCUUCUUUGUAACUAAUUGGCCCAAAUCCUAGCUGGACAGGUGGACUGACUGCUUCUUUCUUUUUUAGCUCUAGGCUGAUGGCAUAAACUCAGGUUUUCCAUGCCACUCGUCUCAAUGCAAAAUCAGACGAACUUGAACCCACGUAAUCUGGAUUUUAGCUAGCUCACAUAUGGAGAUAAUUCCAUUGAUCUUGACUUGGUGGUCACUAUAGCAAAGAAAGAAUCAAAACUCGGAGAUUUCUUCCUGUCCUUAACAGAAUGAGUUAAGCCUAACUUGGAACAGAGCUUUUCUGGGCUGACAGUCUCUGAACGGUUCUGUAUUAAUGGACUGGAUAGAUCCAACCACUUGACUAAAUCCAGUCUUCUCUACUGUUGACAAGAGAACAACGGAUAAUGAGUAACCUGCUAUGCUUUCCAUUAGGCCUAACUCAAAUGCAGUGCUAACUUCCAUAACAGGAAAUUGCACAGCUAAGGCUCCUCAGAUGAGAAUGGCCUGGCUCAAGCCUCUAAGAGAUUCAUUUGUGGUCCCUGUCAGCAAUAAUGUCUCUGUUGAUUAAAGCAUUUUAAAUAGGAACACCAGGAUACUCUGUGCUGAGUCCGCCAUGUCAUAUUUCAUGGUGGACUUAGCACAGAAUGCAGGACAUCCGUGUUCUAUGCCCUCAUUGAUUGGCCACUCUUAGAAGCCACAAUGAAAGCUGUAAUGGAAGAAACUUCUGAGAGGCCUUCACAGCCAACCCAAGGCUGUAGAAAUUGGGCACAGACAGAUCCACAUCAGACAGAGAACAGGUCUACCUGAAGAAGGCAGACAGGGAUUCCUGGUCUCCUAAAUCCUCUGUGGAUUUAGUCAUGAGUUAGGCAGAAUUGUGAGGCUGCUCAUAACUAAGACAAUGGAAAGGCAGAUACCUUCACUGUCAUUGACUAAAUCAGUUUUUCAAAGAUAAGUUUCUACUGUUAGGGAACAUUUGCAUUAAAUAAGCAACUGCUGCCAGUAUAAUUUCCAAAAAGGCAACCUAGGGUACAGGAGUUUUGGAAUCUGCAAAAGAGCAGCUGGCAUGCUGUUAGAAGAACUCAUUAGCAACAACUCAAAGACAUGGUAGAAACUGACACAGAGCCAACACCAAACAGAACAGAAUUUGAACUGCAGGGUAGACAGGAAACUGACUACAUAAAAAUUAGACUUUCAAACUCCACUUACCCGUCUCUGUGUCUGCCUCUGUCAUUGACAACAACAAAUAUUGUAUUUCCUAUUUCUUAUACCUACAGAAUGGUAGGUCAGAUUCUACAGCUUCACAUAUAAUCUACAAUAUUGACAGCUAAAAUUUAAGAAUAAAGGGAAAAACCCUGAUUCCACUUACGUGGCCCAGGACAAGAACCCUUCUGAGUUUAGUGGAGCCACACUUUUCUCUAAAAUCCUGAGAGCUCCUGCUGCUGCUGCUGAUUAUGAAGAGCGAGGCAGAGAGGAAGCAAUAUUAUCAUUAUUCGGAUUCCAGGGCUGGUAGCAAGCAAAACUGUUCUUUGCCUAAGGAAACCAUCAAAUGGAUAUGGAACAGAAACUACAGUGAUAUUUUUUCUCCGUUUGUAACUUCCAGGGGGGUGCACUGCAUGUGCAGUGAGCUCUCUGAGCUCACCACCAUGUCAGAACAGCUCCUGCCAGAGUUUCACAUGGCUUGAGAGCUCUGAGCUCACCAGCUGGUCACCACAGGCUCUAGACAGAGGCCCUGCUUUCACACAGCUCCAGAGCCCAGAGAGGCACUGCUGUUUACUCUCCCUUCUACCCAUGCCCUCCCCACUGACAUUCACCCCCUAGGCUCCGGAGUCAGGUGAAAGCAGGGGCGGAGCACUGCUGCCACUGCUCUUUACUGAAUUCUGCAGUAGGCCAAAAGAAGAGUGGGGAACAAGAGGAAGGGAUGGCAAACAAUGGUGAUGUUCACCUUGGCUCCAAACCUGUGUGAAAGCAGGGGCUCAAGGCAGAGCAUGCACCAGUCAGCUGGUGAGCUCAGUGCUCAUGGCACAUGCGGAGCUGCGACAGGAACUGUGCUGAUAGGCUGGUGAACUCUCUAACAUCCAGGAUCGCACUGAGUGGCAUGUGGUCACACAGUGAGUUGAGCUUUGCAUGCGCCACACCCCACCCUCACUCCCUGGGAUCCUGGGACCACCCACAGUGACUUCCAUGUCAAGUAUGCUCAGAUUUUUUCUUUCUCCCAUCAGCUUUGCUAAAACAGUCUGGCAUCUGAGAUCAUACCUAAACCAGGACAAACAACUCUGAACUGAAAAAAGAUGGAAUAAGAAAUCAAGGAGGAUGACCAAGAUUAAACGAGACAAAGAGAAAUUGUACAAAAUGACUGUGGAUAGGAAAGGCAUAAUAAUUCCAGGAUCUAGUCACAACUUGUCACUUGGUGAGAAGAAAGUAAUGCUCGUAUCAUAUACUUAUUGAGAGAAAGAAGCAGCAAAGGGAUACUUUCAAGAAAGCUCUGCUGUGCUUGAAGUACAAAUACUGCAUAAACAAGACUCACACAAUCUAAAGUAUACUUUGUUUGGUAAUACAUAACUGGUUUCCCUCUAUGCAGUGACUUCUGUACACAUUUUGAAUAAGAAGAAAACAGUACUAGAAGACAGUGAAGGAAGAGAAAAAGCCACCCACUUAACUACAGCAAUUUUAGAGGCAUCAUCAAAUGCUCAAAUAGAUUUAACCUUAUAUCCUAAUCAUAACAUAUUUAACUAUCCUGUUGGGUGUUCAGAGAAAAUUACUUCUUCUUGAAACUUGCAGCAAUUGAAAAUCCCUCAUUUGGAUUUUUUUAACUCCACUUUGCACUGAGAAUACAUGGUUUCAAAAGUGUUCAUGAAGGGAUUUUUUUUCCCCCUUCUCUGGCUUGAACAGUGAAUGGCAGAGCUCCGAGUCUGAAUAAACAGUGUGGGUGGUGACUGUUCUGUGAGGCCCAUGUAAAGGAUGCAAUCAUUUUCUUAUGCUGUUCAGCAUUAAAUCAUGUGAAACUAGCUUGAUUGCCACACAUAACAUUCACUUUGUAGCAGAAUGUAACAUGCCAUGUAUUCUUUCCUAACUUUGGAGGGAAAAAAUAAUAAUUAAUUCUCCUAGCUUCAAGUGUUUAAUUGUGUAUAAAGUUCAUUGACCUCGCUAGUUGCUGUCAGAUGAUCUUGCUAAGGCCUGUGAAAAACAUCCCAGGAAUGCAGUGAUGUGGGCAGAAACAAAGUGAGUUCAUGCCACAAAAUGCUUUAAAUGGAACAAAAUCAGCAGCCAUCCAGAGAGACUGCACUGAAAACAGAACUUCAGAAUAAUCAUGGGUUUAACCUCACCUAAGCACGGGUAGUCCUUCAAAAGUGAUUAUUAUAAAUCAUAUACUUUAAAAAAAUCCUUUCAGGAUCUGGCAUGUGACUACAUGAAGUAACUCUGUUUACUGGUAAUCCCCUAACUGACUGGAAAUGAAUGCACUGGAGAGGCUGGGAUGUCUAGAUACAAGACAUGGAAUGAGGCGAUCUGCUUGUUUCCAGGUUCCGUAACCUGUCCAAGUAAGAUUAAAUGUGACCUUAGGUAGGGCACUAAGCCAUUGUGUGAAACAGUUUCCUUUCCAGUAAAGUAAUGAUGGUUAUCUCCAUUUAUACAGAGCUUUGAGAUCUACAGAUGAAAAGUAUUGUUGAUAAUAAUGAUCACGUAUUUGCCUAUAUGUAAUUUUUAUCCCUGUCAUUACAAUCCAGGCUGGAGGACAGCUGCUCAUUUCAUAUGCUAUAAUUAACUAGGUAGAAUCAAGAUGAAUCUGUUCUAAGGUCAACAUUAAAAUAUCAGCUGCCCUCUCACACAGUUCAAAAUGCACAUUUCUAAUUCAAGGGGACAUGGCAGCCUAAUUUUAUUAAGAAACAUCACAUAAACUACUGCAGAUACCGCUUAUACUAAGCCUUAAAUAUUAAUAUAGGUUGAAAGUAUAUGCAGCAAUCUAUAUUAGGAGCUAUGUUCUUUAGGAUGAGGGUAUCUUAAUACAGCUCUUAGCACAACUGGCCCCAUAUCCUAACCGGGCUUAUAAGCAAUACAAUAAUAUAAAUAUUAAUUAAUAGAAAAGCCUGAAAACAAUGCUGUCCAGCAUGGCUGGGUCUUCAACCAGCUGAUGCAGGUCUGUGUAUUAAGGGACAUGAUCCUAAAAGUCCCUGUGGUGAAUAAGCUGCAGUUUACUUCAGUUCAAUUUCUCUUUUCCUAUAUGCCCCCUAUGGAGUCUGACAAUGUGACUGGCAAAGCAUGUGUUGCAACUCGGCAUGCCUCAUGUUGGUGUACUUUUUCACAGUCAUUGAAUCCCCCAGGGUGAUUUAUAUGAGAAGGGAACAUAUGGCUUAUAGGCAAUAACAAGGUAGUACAGAAGCCAGUUUGAAAUUAUGACCUACAAAAAUGGCCUGCAUUAUUUUGUAGUAUACCUUCUGCUUUGUUACCCCUUUUUCUCAAUCCGUCACAAACAGUUUCAUCUAAAUCCCUUCUGAUAUACUUCUAACACUCUUUUCUCUAUGUCUUAAGAUGACUACCUCUAGUAUGCUCUGAAAUAAGUAACUCUAGUCAGACUAGGUUUUUUUAGUCAAUUGGUUCAUUCUGGUGACCAUGGUAAACAUAACAGGCUUGGAUUAUAACUCCUACCAUCUGGAAUUAAAUCUUCUUCACAGACAGAUAAAACCAGAUCAUAGCCAUAUUAAAUUCUGGAUUGUGAUUAUGAUCUCUCUUGGUAUUAAGGGAUAAAGCCAUACCCCAAAAGAAUAUCAGCUUAAGGCAACCUAUACUAUUAAAUGUAUUGGAAAAGAUGUACAGUAUGUUGUCAUUUGCUGUGUAUUAUAUCCCCUCAUUGUGGAAUACAAUAAUGCCCUUAAUCUUUUGUGGAAAUACUUCAGUGGAGCUCUUUACUCAAAAAUAAGUGCAUUAUUUAAAA
Molecule: long non-coding RNA, 11519 nt
Organism: Alligator mississippiensis (American alligator)
Lineage: Eukaryota; Metazoa; Chordata; Crocodylia; Alligatoridae
Exons: 2
Source: RefSeq, a predicted model, not a curated record